Molecule: long non-coding RNA, 370 nt
Filed under: Chinchilla lanigera (long-tailed chinchilla)
Lineage: Eukaryota; Metazoa; Chordata; Mammalia; Rodentia; Chinchillidae
Description: lncRNA (ENSCLAG00000028045.1)
Source: RNAcentral
ACAACUCUGCAAAGAGGAGAAAUAAACUGAUUUCUCUUUUCUUUACCUAUAUUCUAGCCAUCAUACCAAGACUGUGAUUGCUCUAGAUAGAGGCCCUAAGCCACUUCAAUGAACCAUGCCUUAGAAGAAUGCAGCAGGAAGAAAAUGAAAACAAGAAGAGAAGGUGGCUUCCUAGAGAGAAAUAGGGAAGGAUUUAAUCGGUUGAGCCAAAUGAUCUCCACUUGCUUGGAGGGGAGGUAGCUUUGACAACUGCUGCUGCUUUCAGGGGACAGAAUCAGAAUGCAUGGAAGUUCUGUCAUAACUGGAGAAGAGGUAAGGAGUACCCAGAAACUGAACUGGAUGUGGGGUGUAGAUUGGGCUGAUGGUCAGC